This 29-nucleotide small RNA is filed under the name Bombyx mori (domestic silkworm). Its description in RNAcentral is "piRNA piR-bmo-1313727". The record is from RNAcentral. Lineage: Eukaryota; Metazoa; Arthropoda; Insecta; Lepidoptera; Bombycidae.
UAAACCGUGGAUCUAAAAUACUUGCGAUA